This 254-nucleotide ribosomal RNA is filed under the name uncultured bacterium. Its description in RNAcentral is "partial 16S ribosomal RNA". It matches the Rfam family "Bacterial small subunit ribosomal RNA", at positions 524 to 776 of the family's 1533-position model. The record is from RNAcentral.
UACGUAGGGGGCAAGCGUUGUCCGGAUUUAUUGGGCGUAAAGAGCUCGUAGGCGGUUUGGUAAGUCAGGUGUGAAAUCUCCACGCUCAACGUGGAGGGGCCACCUGAUACUGCCAUGACUGGAGUCCGGUAAAGGAGUGUGGAAUUCCCGGUGUAGCGGUGAAAUGCGCAGAUAUCGGGAGGAACACCCGUAGCGAAGGCGGCACUCUGGGCCGGUACUGACGCUGAGGAGCGAAAGCGUGGGGAGCAAACAGG